UACAGAGGGGGCAAGCGUUAUUCGGAAUUAUUGGGCGUAAAGGGCGCGUAGGCGGCUUUGCAAGUGACGGGUGAAAUCCCUCGGCUUAACCGAGGAACUGCCUGUCAAACUGCAUGGCUUGAGACCGGGAGAGGUGAGUGGAAUUCCCAGUGUAGCGGUGAAAUGCGUAGAUAUUGGGAGGAACACCAGUGGCGAAGGCGGCUCACUGGACCGGUACUGACGCUGAUGCGCGAAAGCCAGGGGAGCGAACGGG
RNAcentral lists this ribosomal RNA (253 nucleotides) under uncultured bacterium. RNAcentral's name for it is "partial 16S ribosomal RNA". It matches the Rfam family "Bacterial small subunit ribosomal RNA", at positions 524 to 776 of the family's 1533-position model. The record is from RNAcentral.